GCUGGCGUAGCUCAAUCGGUAGAGCAUCGGUUUUGUAAACCGAGGGUUGUGAGUUCGAGUCUCACCGUCAGCU
RNAcentral lists this transfer RNA (73 nucleotides) under Isosphaera pallida ATCC 43644. RNAcentral's name for it is "tRNA-Thr (TGT) (tRNA-Thr-TGT-1-1)". It matches the Rfam family "tRNA". Rfam says of the family: Transfer RNA (tRNA) molecules are approximately 80 nucleotides in length. Their secondary structure includes four short double-helical elements and three loops (D, anti-codon, and T loops). The record is from Rfam by way of RNAcentral. Lineage: Bacteria; Pseudomonadati; Planctomycetota; Planctomycetia; Isosphaerales; Isosphaeraceae.